Molecule: ribosomal RNA, 253 nt
Filed under: uncultured bacterium
Lineage: Bacteria
Description: partial 16S ribosomal RNA
Rfam family: Bacterial small subunit ribosomal RNA
Source: RNAcentral
UACAGAGGUCCCAAGCGUUGUUCGGAUUCACUGGGCGUAAAGGGUGCGUAGGCGGUCGGGUAAGUCUGCUGUGAAAUCUCACAGCUUAACUGUGAAACUGCAUUGGAUACUAUCCGGCUAGAGGAAUGGAGGGGAGACUGGAAUACUUGGUGUAGCAGUGAAAUGCGUAGAUAUCAAGUGGAACACCAGUGGCGAAGGCGAGUCUCUGGACAGUUCCUGACGCUGAGGCACGAAAGCCAGGGGAGCAAACGGG